UAUUAUAGAGUUUAAUAUUGAAGAUAUUAAGGAGAUAGUUUUAUCUUUAAAUAAUUUAUAAAAAAAU
RNAcentral lists this transfer RNA (67 nucleotides) under Bombyx mori (domestic silkworm). RNAcentral's name for it is "tRNA-Phe". Lineage: Eukaryota; Metazoa; Arthropoda; Insecta; Lepidoptera; Bombycidae. The record is from RNAcentral.